Molecule: ribosomal RNA, 563 nt
Filed under: Lodderomyces parapsilosis
Lineage: Eukaryota; Fungi; Ascomycota; Pichiomycetes; Serinales; Debaryomycetaceae
Description: Candida parapsilosis partial large subunit ribosomal RNA
Rfam family: Eukaryotic large subunit ribosomal RNA
Source: RNAcentral
AACCAACAGGGAUUGCCUUAGUAGCGGCGAGUGAAGCGGCAAAAGCUCAAAUUUGAAAUCUGGCACUUUCAGUGUCCGAGUUGUAAUUUGAAGAAGGUAUCUUUGGGUCUGGCUCUUGUCUAUGUUUCUUGGAACAGAACGUCACAGAGGGUGAGAAUCCCGUGCGAUGAGAUGUCCCAGACCUAUGUAAAGUUCCUUCGAAGAGUCGAGUUGUUUGGGAAUGCAGCUCUAAGUGGGUGGUAAAUUCCAUCUAAAGCUAAAUAUUGGCGAGAGACCGAUAGCGAACAAGUACAGUGAUGGAAAGAUGAAAAGAACUUUGAAAAGAGAGUGAAAAAGUACGUGAAAUUGUUGAAAGGGAAGGGCUUGAGAUCAGACUUGGUAUUUUGUAUGUUACUCUCUCGGGGGUGGCCUCUACAGUUUACCGGGCCAGCAUCAGUUUGAGCGGUAGGAUAAGUGCAAAGAAAUGUGGCACUGCUUCGGUAGUGUGUUAUAGUCUUUGUCGAUACUGCCAGCUUAGACUGAGGACUGCGGCUUCGGCCUAGGAUGUUGGCAUAAGAUCUUAA